UACGAAGGGGGCUAGCGUUGCUCGGAAUCACUGGGCGUAAAGGGUGCGUAGGCGGGUCUUUAAGUCAGGGGUGAAAUCCUGGAGCUCAACUCCAGAACUGCCUUUGAUACUGAGGAUCUUGAGUUCGGGAGAGGUGAGUGGAACUGCGAGUGUAGAGGUGAAAUUCGUAGAUAUUCGCAAGAACACCAGUGGCGAAGGCGGCUCAGUGGCCCGAUACUGACGCUGAGGCACGAAAGCGUGGGGAGCAAACAGG
Molecule: ribosomal RNA, 253 nt
Filed under: uncultured bacterium
Lineage: Bacteria
Description: partial 16S ribosomal RNA
Rfam family: Bacterial small subunit ribosomal RNA
Source: RNAcentral